UCGGAGAAAAAGAGUCGCGUACGAGAAGCGCGUAGAUAAGAAAUUGGUCUCGCAAUCGAGUUUGGGUUCAGAAGUCGGUUAUGCAAGGGGAAAGUAUUAGCACCCCUCACGUCCAUGGUACUCCAUGGGAACCAUUUAGGUUGUUUACGUAUGCAGGUAUUUAUCACAUUUAUUGUUUUAUUUUCAAAAAGAGUGUGAGAGGGUGGGUUUUUG
This 213-nucleotide long non-coding RNA is filed under the name Lathyrus oleraceus (garden pea). RNAcentral describes it as "Pisum sativum (pea) long non-coding RNA (PSAT_LNC036824)". The record is from RNAcentral. Lineage: Eukaryota; Viridiplantae; Streptophyta; Magnoliopsida; Fabales; Fabaceae.